Molecule: small RNA, 547 nt
Filed under: Pongo abelii (Sumatran orangutan)
Lineage: Eukaryota; Metazoa; Chordata; Mammalia; Primates; Hominidae
Description: retained intron
Source: RNAcentral
GAUGAGGAUUUUGUGGGUCGGGAUGAUUUUGAUGAUGCUGACCAGCUGAGGAUAGGAAAUGAUGGGAUUUUCAUGUUAACUUUUUUCAUGGCAUUCCUCUUUAACUGGAUUGGGUUUUUCCUGUCUUUUUGCCUGACCACUUCAGCUGCAGGAAGGUAUGGGGCCAUUUCAGGAUUUGGUCUCUCUCUAAUUAAAUGGAUCCUGAUUGUCAGGGUAAGUUGUACAACAGAAAAGAUGGGCUGUACAGAGAGGCAAUAAUUAGAAUAUUUUUGAAUAUUUGAUUUUUCAUUUGCUUUUUUAAAAGUUAUUUCAACUUGUUAAAUGAUUUUUGGUUUGUCUGUGGUUUCAUGAUGAAGCUGAACCAAAAUCAUUUGUAAAUGGUUCAUGCACACAAGUUUUGUUGUCAAAUCUAUUGAAAACUGGUCUAUCAUUAAUAUUGUUCACCAUCUGCUUUCUUUGUUUUUAAUGUUUAUAAUAUGAUAAUGUAUAUGUUCUGAAAUUAGUUGUUUUUAUAAUAAAAGGAAGGAUAUUACCCCUUUGAUAUCUC